Molecule: ribosomal RNA, 322 nt
Filed under: uncultured eukaryote
Lineage: Eukaryota
Description: partial 18S ribosomal RNA
Rfam family: Eukaryotic small subunit ribosomal RNA
Source: RNAcentral
CCCUUAGAUGUUCUGGGCCGCACGCGUGCUACACUGAGUAAUUCAAUGGGUAAGGGAACGCUAGAGCAUUACCUAAUCUUGAAAUUUGCUCGUGAUGGGGAUCGACGGUUGCAAUUUUCCGUCGUGAACGAGGAAUACCUUGUAGGCGCAUGUCAUCAUCAUGCGCCGAAUACGUCCCUGCCCUUUGUACACACCGCCCGUCGCACCUACCGAUUGGAUGGUCCGGUGAAGCCUCGGGAUUGUGGUUCUUGCCGCUUUAUUGUGGCGUGACCGCGAGAACUUGUCUAAACCUUAUCAUCUAGAGGAAGGUGAAGUCGUAACA